CCUCCUAUAGCUCAAUUGGCAGAGCGCAAGACUGUAACGGCAGCUUGAUAUCUUGAGGUUCCUAGUUCGAUUCUGGGUGGGAGGA
Molecule: transfer RNA, 85 nt
Organism: Wallemia sebi
Lineage: Eukaryota; Fungi; Basidiomycota; Wallemiomycetes; Wallemiales; Wallemiaceae
Rfam family: tRNA
About the family: Transfer RNA (tRNA) molecules are approximately 80 nucleotides in length. Their secondary structure includes four short double-helical elements and three loops (D, anti-codon, and T loops).
Source: Rfam